CGGGUGAGGAACGCGUAGGUAAUCUACCCUUUGGCGGGGGACAACAUUCCGAAAGGAAUGCUAAUACCGCGUAAGACCACGUUCACUACGGUGAGAGUGGUAAAAGGUGCCUCAAAGCACCACCAAAGGAUGAGCCUGCGUCCCAUCAGCUUGUUGGUAAGGUAAUGGCUUACCAAGGCUAAGACGGGUAGCUGGUCUGAGAGGAUGAUCAGCCACACUGGCGCUGGAACACGGGCCAG
RNAcentral lists this ribosomal RNA (239 nucleotides) under uncultured bacterium. Its description in RNAcentral is "partial 16S ribosomal RNA". It matches the Rfam family "Bacterial small subunit ribosomal RNA", at positions 103 to 334 of the family's 1533-position model. The record is from RNAcentral.